UCUGAUGGAGUGGAGUGGCUCUCUAUUCCAUUGAUCUAGGAGAAGCUCGGAUGUUUUCGAGGUUGCUGAUGAGUCACUGUUGUUGGAUGCCUCGGGCAUUGAUGCUACAGGCAGGAGUCAUCUGCUGUAGAAGCUCGGAUGGAGACUUUCUGUUGGUGAAGUCCGGUAGGAGUCCGAUUGUUAGAGAAGUCCAUCUGGGAUUUACCUGAUGUGGAAGCUCAUCUGAAGAUUAUCCGAAGGAGAAGUCUAGUUUCAUGAAGAAUCUGGCAG
RNAcentral lists this long non-coding RNA (270 nucleotides) under Elaeis guineensis (African oil palm). RNAcentral describes it as "long non-coding RNA (EGUI_LNC075053)". The record is from RNAcentral. Lineage: Eukaryota; Viridiplantae; Streptophyta; Magnoliopsida; Arecales; Arecaceae.